GUUGUUUUCCAAGGGCUGUAAGCAUGAAAUCACCUGGCCUUGUGCGUAAGACAUCUAUGAAUCGAUCAACCAGAUGUAUACCUCUAAAGAACUGUGAUGACACUGAGGAAAUAUUCUACAAUCUUCACCAUGGUUACUGUUGAAUAGGGAUUUUCACAUAGCAAUUGCUAUACAGUGUAAUGCCAGCAUGUAUGUUUUUCUAAGCAAGCGACAGUGUGUCAAGGCAGAAGCUGUGCAUCUGGACAGGAUGAGAGUGGUUGUUUUCCAAUGGCUGUAAGCAUGAAAUCACCUGGCCUUGUGCGGAAGACAUCUAUGAAUCGAUCAACCAGAUGUAUACCUCUAAAGUGAGUAUUUUGUUUCAGAACUUAUUUGGC
Long non-coding RNA from Mercenaria mercenaria, 374 nucleotides. RefSeq lists it as uncharacterized. The record is from RefSeq and is a predicted model, not a curated record. Lineage: Eukaryota; Metazoa; Mollusca; Bivalvia; Venerida; Veneridae. The transcript has 3 exons.